This 204-nucleotide microRNA precursor is filed under the name Oryza brachyantha (malo sina). Its description in RNAcentral is "MIR812 microRNA precursor family". It matches the Rfam family "MIR812 microRNA precursor family". Lineage: Eukaryota; Viridiplantae; Streptophyta; Magnoliopsida; Poales; Poaceae. The record is from Rfam by way of RNAcentral.
AAUAAGUGUAUUUUCUUUAUUGUUAUGUUUAACGUUUGAUCGUCUGUCUUAUUUAAAUAAAUUAAUAAUUAAUAUUUUUAAUUAUUAGAUGAUAAAAUAUGAAUAAUACUUUAUGUAUGACUAUUUUUUAAUUUUUUUUCAUAAUUUUUUCAAAUAAGACGGAUGAUCAAACGUUGGACAAGCAAAUCGACAAACACAAUUAUA